UAAUUAAAAAAGGAAAAGGGCCCACCCUUUAAACCUUGUCUCACCCUCAAAGUUUCGUGAGUCCUAUAUUGUUGUUCAUCAUCUUUUUCCCAUCUUCCAGCCGCCACUUAUCUCCGCCUCUAUUCCUUUCAUCGGGAGUUUAACCCACAAAUAUUCCAGAUCAUGGGUGCACCACCAUCAAAACCAUGCUUCUGUAUCACCUUUCUCUCCCCAUAUAUGUCAUCGAUCCAUCUCAAUCUCAUCGUCUCUGGAAAAAUGUUAACCACGAUGUCGUCACCAGAAAAUGUGAACCAGGAAAAAUCAGCACCGCCUUUCUCAUUCUUUCUCCUUAGUCUUCAUCGACUCCAUCUCCAUCUUAUACCUAAUGAACCAUGGACCAGGAAGUCAAUGCUUAGGGACUUAGGGUUUGUUGAACCGAUCUUGCAUAAGGUGUAUCUGGUUUGUUUAUCGAUCUUGUAUUGGUGUAUUGCAUCUGGGUUCACGAUUCUAGGACACUUCUGGGAUAAAAAUCAAAUUUGAGUAUACGUUCUGGGUAAUUCUAACACCGGUGGGAGGUGGUUAAGCCGGUUGUGGUUAAUGACAGCGGAAGGUGAUUAAGGGAGGCGAUUUCUUCUCAAUCGCUCAUCUUCCAGUAAAUUUAACCCCACCGCUGCCAUCUUUCAACUUCGACGGAAACCACAACCAUCUUUCAACUUCGACGGAAACCACCACCAUCUACCGGUAAACAUAACACCAUUGCUAACAUCCCUUUUUCUUCUUCUUCCCUCUCAACAUCCAAACUCUGACUCUCGACUUUUUAGGUGGGUUUCAUGGCGGUAACUGAGUUUGGGGGUUUGAUUUGGUUAAGGUUUUUUGUUUUUUAAGAUUUGAUUUUGGUUUGAUUUUUAGAAAGGUUAGUUGAUUUUCAGGUUUGGAGUUAGAUUGCAGUUUAAGGUUUUAUUUGGGUGGUGUUAUAGGUUGUGGAUCUAUUUUCCAGUGGCCAGUGUUGGUUGUCGGUAGCUGAUGGUGGCCAAUGGUCGGAGUGAUUAGAGUGGGAGGUGGAGUGGGAGUGCAAGUGGUCCCACCUAUCAAUAAAUCGAAUAAUUUGUUUUCUUUAAAUAAAAAAUAAAAAAAUUAACAAGGGUAUUAUAAUCAUUUCUUAUCGGACAGGGACUUACGCGGUAACAAAAUCAAAAUCUAAGGACAGUCCGAGUGCAAAAAAAAAAAAGAAUGGACCAAACACGUAAUUUUUGACAAACCGACGAUUUCAGUAAUUUGUUCUAAACAAAUAUAUGAAAGUGCAUAUGUAUUAUUUUCAUUUAAACCCAGAAAAAAGGGGAGCAACAACGGUAGGGGCAUGUCUUGAAAUUAGAAAGUUCUUUUUAUAACAUAUAUAAUUUCUUUAUUUUAUUAACUUAUAGGAAUAUGACCUGCGAUGGUAAUUACCUUUUUAUCUUGCUCACGUUUAGGUAAUUUCAUUUUUUUUAUCCAUUUGACCAUUUAACUUGUUAAAUAUGUUCACAGGUGGCAAUGGUAAUAUGUGAAUAUAUUUAACAAAUUAAAUUGUCAAAUAUAUAUAAAAAAACAAAGUUGUCUAAAUGUGAAUAGUUUUUUUUUUACAAAUUUCUUAAAUUUUUUAUAAUUUCUUACAACAUUUUUAUGAUAUUUUUUCACAUUCUUUUUUUUUUUACAAAUUUUUUACAACAUUUUUAUGAUAUUUUUUUUUUCUUAUAAAUUUUUCUAAUACAAUGUUUUAAACUUUGUUUAUAUUUUUUUUUCGACUUUUUUUAUAUUUUCAUAUAAUUUUAAUACAAGUGUUUUUAAACCAAAUAUUUUAUAACUGUUUUAGAAUUCUCUUACAAGUUUUUUACUUUUUAUUUUAUUUUAUUAUUUUUUUUUAACAUUGUCAUUCAAUUUUUCUAUAACUUUCAUACAUUUAUUUCUAAACUUUCUUUACAAUAUUUUUAAAGUGUUUCAAAGAUUUUGUAUGACAAUUUAAUAUUUUUUAUAACAUUUUGAAAUACUUUCGUUAAAUACUAGUUUAAAACAUUGUAUUAAAAAAAUUAAAAGUUUAUAAACUUCUAAGUAAAAGUAUUAAAAAGUUGGAAUAAUUUGUAACGCCCCGAUUCUCAUGUAUUGUUCAAUUAUAGUUUCUAGGUUUUGGCCCUACUCGACGAGUUGGUUGCCCUACUCGUCGAGUAGCAGCGGGAUUGGAUCGCAAAUUAAGUGACUGACUCGGCGAGUCCACUAGUGGGACUCGGCGAGUCCACUAGUGGGACUCGGCGAGUAGGAGCUGGCAAGUGAAACCCUAAUCCCCGGGGUUUGUGUCCCUAUUCAAAGGAGCCUUAGCCUCCUUUGGGCCUCUUUACAGUCUUAGAGAGUCCCUGAAAGGUCUGAUUCGAGUGUGUGUGCUUUGGUGAGUGUGUGAAGCUUGAUUUGAAGAUUUUGGAAGGAGAAGGCUUGAAGGAAGAGGAGGUAGGAGCAAGUAAGGUAGGGAAAUCAUCACUAUUCUCAGUUUUCAUCUUCCAGAGGUAUCCUCAAUCACCAUCUUUUCUGUGAGUUUCCUUUCUAUGAAGUUCUAGGGUUUUCUUUGGACUUUAAGGGUUGAUAAAUUGAACAAUGAGUUGGAUCUGAAGUUGUAAUUUCAGAUCUGAACCCUCCCUAAGCUCCAGCAACAUAAAGUCACAGAAUUGAUCAUGUAUGAGGUCCCUCAUGGGCAUGAAGCCCCAUUAAGAGCUUAGAUUUGGCAUUUAGAGCCUUAAAAGCAAUGCAUGUACGUAAAGUUUGUGACUUUACGCGAUACGUAUGCCAUAGAAGCUAGAUCUAUGAAUUGGAGCCACCGCAUGGACCAGAAUAAGUCUAUAUGGAAAAAGGACCGAACGGACUCAGGGAAUCACAAGGAUGACUCGGCGAGUCUAAUGAAGAAAGCCAUGAACUCGACGAGUUGGAUGAACAACCCGGCGAGUCCGAUGAAGAUCGUCAUGAAACUUGGCGAGUUGAUGAACAACUCGGCGAGUCGGAUGAACUUCCCCCAAAGAUAUGAACACAUAUGUACCCGUCGAGUUUUGCUUAGGAAACCCGACGAGUGGCUUUAGAGUUCAGUCGAAAAACAAGGGAAACUCGACAAGUCACUCAAUGACUCGGUGAGUGCACCGGAAGCCAAGGAAACUCAGCGAGUAGCCGAGGGAACUCGGCAAGUCAGGUCAACAUGGACUAUUGACCUUGACUGUUGACUUUGACCAUUGACCCAGGUUGAUCUGUUGACUUUUGAGGACAGUUCUAGAUGAAUCAGAAACUUACAUAUACAACUCGUGAUGAAUAUAGGUGGUGAAGUUCGUGAUAGUGACCUGAGGGUUGGAGCUUAUUUCUGUGAGUCGACGUUGCAAGGUGAGUUAUCCUCACUAUACUAAGGGGUCUAAGGCACCAAGGCCGACCCAUUGGAUUUGAUAUCCUAGUAGUUAUUGUUAUGUUGAGUCUGAGUUAGUGAUGCAUGCCAAUUGAUGUGCUAGUCGGGUAGAUCUAUAGGACUGCUGGUGAUACUGAUUGAUUACCUGUAUGUGUAUUUAUCUGUUACAUGUCGACAUGUUAUGUGGGGUGGGUUGAAGCUGUACUGCUCCGUGCGGUAGCCAACAAACCCGAGAGUAUUCCAGAUAUGAUUUGAGGGCCCGGUAGGCAUUCCAGACUCAUACUGAGGACUCGAGAGCAUUCCAGAUAUGAGCUGAGGGCCCGAUAGGCAUUCCAGACUCGUACUGAGGGCUCGAUGGCAUUCCAGAUACAAGCUGAUGGCCUGGUAGGCAUUCCAGACUCGUACUGAGGGCCUAGGGGUAGUCCAGCUUGUAAAGCUGUGGACCCAGUGCAUGAUGUUCUGUUUUUAUUGAUAUAAUCUGCUAAUGUUGAUAUUGCUAUGUGAACUGUAUGUGUAUCGGUAUUUUGGGGUAACUCACUAAGCUUUCAGGCUUACAGUUUCAGUUUAUUGUUUCAGGUACCUCAGGGGAUCGCGGCAAGGCCAAGGCGUGAUCGUACAGCUCCUCCUAUUAUGUUAUGUUUCUGAGAAAAGACUAUGAUAAUCAAUGUUUUGAAAACAAAGUUGUAAUAUAUUGAUGAACUUGACAUGUUUUUAAAAGUUUAAAUUUAUUUGAAAUUUUGAAUGUUACAAGUUGGUAUCAGAGCCUUGGUUUGAGUGAAUAGGAGGAACAUUCGUGUGAAUCCAGUCCCAAAUCAAGGAACGGUUUUCAAAAAUGUUUUAAGAAAAAUGGUUUUCAAAAUAAAUAAGGAGGUGAUGGGUGUACGAUUAGUCGGAGCCAGUAAGCAAACCCCAAAAUACCAUACAGUUAUUUGAUUAUGUGAUAUAUUAGAACAGCAUGCUAGUACUAGGCUAGGGAUCUUCAGGAAUUGCAUGAUAAAAUUGCCUGAUUACGUGGUGCCUGCUAGCCUAGGGUUUCCUUUACAUGAAAUUGACAUCAUUACUGUAGUGAUUUAGUGUAUGCAUCACGGUUGUACAUAAUUAAGACCUUAUAGCCUAAGAAUGUCUUAUUUAGCCUUAUGUUCUGUUCUUGUUUGAUUUGGGGCUUAGGGUAGAAUUGAAUAUUCAAAAGUCUAUCGGGUCUAGCGUUAUGUAUGGCUAGCAUGCACUAGUGCUGCAGGGUUGGUGGAAAUUUCGUGAGUGGGUAGGUUGUUGGGAUAAGUCCACCGACUUCGAGUCGUUUAGCAUUUCCUUUAGAAAUAAGGCUUGAGUGCUCGAUGUGAUUAUAUAUAUUGUUAGAGCGUUGUGGUGAUACUUGGAACAAAUAUGGGUAGGUGUGGAAGGUAGUAUGGGCCCGUACUACUGAAAGCACAGGACCCAUAUGCAUGACAAGGAAGUCAUAACUCCCAGGGUUUUGUUGGGGGUUGGUCCCUAGUUAUUGUGUAUGAAGUUAUUUAAUACCUUGUGUUGUGUUUCAGAAUGGUGAUGAACAGGCGCUUUGUGAUUGGAUCCGAGUCAGGAUCAGGAUCGGGAUCAGGAGAGGGCGGACAAGGGGAGCUGACAGCACCCGAGACGAUCGGCCAAAUGAGGCCGGAUGAGAUGGACGAGAGGAUUCGAGAAAUCCUGCAUGACGAGGUUGCUGCCAUGUUCCAGGCCGAAUUUCCGGAAAUGUUCGGGUCAAUUAAGACCGCUAUGGUGUAGUAUUUCGAUGAGCGUUACGUAGCCCUCACAGAGACAGCUGCCGCAACAACUGCAUUAGCUGUAACUACGGUAGGAGGAGGAGUUGGUAGGGGUUUUCAGUACCGGGACUUCGACAACACGAAGCCCCCUAAUUUUGAUGGGACACAGGAUCCCUUCAAGGCUAUGAGAUGGAUUUAAGAUGUGGAGGGGUGUUUCUUCACCUGCUCGUGUGCUACUGACCAAAAGAUCAUGUGUGCUCUUAACCUGCUUAGGUCCGGAGCCAAGGAUUGGUGGAGACUUGCGACUGGGGCUUAUACUGAUGAUCAGAGACCUGCUGUUACUUGGGAGAAGUUUCGGGAUAUGUUAUGCGCUCGUUACAUUCCGAGGGUUGAGCGGGAACGUUUGGCACAGGCGUUUCUGAGUCUGAGGCAAGAUGGAGAGUCGGUGACGGAGAUCACCCGUAUGUUCACUGAGAGGGCGAUGUUCUGCCCAGAGUUUGCUUCCGAGCAGUCUCAGAUGACCCGUUAUCUGAGUAUGCUCAAGACUGAUAUCCUACAGUUCGUAUCCACCCAACGAUGUGAUACUCUUCUAGAGUUAUAGGAGGCCGCCAGAUGGCAGGAGUUGGAGAUUGAGCUGCAGUUGAGGGAGCAGCGGCCGGCCUCGGUACUGUCAUAGCCGGCGCCGAAGCGGCCUAAGACCGCUGAUGCUAGGACCAGGGGUCAACAGGGCCGCACUUGUGGGAAGUGUGACAAGGGUCAUUCUGGGGUGUGUCGGGCUGGUAGUGGGUGCCACAAAUGUGGCAAGGAGGGGCAUUACGUGAAGGAUUGUCGCCAGACUGCCACAGUUCAGGGGAUGAGGUUAUGUUAUCAUUGCAACCAGGUCGGCCACAUAAGGGCCAACUGCCCACUACUUGCCGCCAAGCCGGUGCAGGCUGCAGCGCCGGCUACUUUGAGGAUCACAGACGGGAGACCAGAAAGGACAGAGCCUCCGAAGGCUCAGGGUCGUGCUUUCCAGCUUACGGCAGAGGAGGACAAAGCAGCAGCAUAUGUGGUUGUUGGUAUGUUUCUAUCCUCACCUUGUUUUAUUUAUAUGUUAUAUGCUUAUCUGUUGUACCUAUAAUUAGGUACAUUUUUGGUGAAUUCUUUGCCUGCUUUGGUCUUAUUUGACUCGGGGGCGAGUCGGUCUUUCGUGUCUCAGUCUUUUAGUAGGGAGUUCAGUACGCCUGUGGGCGAGUUAGAGUGUCUGUUGCGAUUGUCUAUCGCUAAUGAACAUGGGGUUUCUUCUUCUUCAAUUUAUCGAGGAUGUGACUUAGAGAUUUUCGGAGUGUCUUUUCUAAUAGACUUGAUCCUGAUUCCCAUGGGGGAGGUGUGCAUGAUUGUGGGCAUGGAUUGGCUCAGUAUGUUCAGUGCUAUGAUUGAUUGUGAGGGUCAGCGAGUGGUAGUUCGAACCCCUAGUGGGGAAGAACUGGUUAUAUAUGGUGAGGGCACCAGAGUAGGCUCAGGUUUUUGCUCAGCUGCUAGGGCUCGGCAGUACAUUCAGCAUGGGUGUAUGAGUUAUCUAGCGUACGUGGUAGAUACGCGAGCCAGGGACCGGAUUUCGGUCUCCGAUGUACCAGUAGUCAGGGAGUUCGCAGAUGUGUUUCCAGAGGAGUUGCCAGGGAUACCUCCGGAGAGGAAGGUCGAGUUCAGGAUCGACCUGGUGCCAGGUGCGGGCCCUAUCUCUAAGGCGCCGUACCGAUUGGCGCCGCCUGAGAUGCAGGAACUUUCGUUGCAGUUGCAGGAACUGUGGGGCAAGCAUUUCAUUCGACCUAGCAGUUAUCCAUGGGGAGCGUCGAUUCUUUUCGUCCGGAGGAGUUAAACAAGCUAACGGUGAAGAACCGUUAUCCACUCCCGAGGAUAGACGACCUCUUUGAUCAACUGCAGGGCGCAUCUUGGUUUUCCAAGAUCGAUUUGAGGUCCGGGUACCACCAGGUCAGGGUCAGGGAGGAGGACGUGGAGAAGACCGCAUUCCAAACUCGUUAUGGACAUUACGAGUUCGUGGUGAUAUCGUUUGGGCUCACCAACGCGCCAACAAUGUUUAUGGACCUGAUGAAUUGGGUCUGCAAACCGAUGCUCGACCGUUCGGUCAUAGUGUUUAUAGAUGAUAUCUUGGUGUAUUCCAAGACCCGAGAGCAGCAUGAGGAGCAUCUACGAGAGCUGUUGGGGGUCCUGAGGCGGGAACAACUGUACGCCAAGUUCUCGAAAUGUGAGUUUUGGUUACGAGAGGUCCAGUUCCUUGGACAUCUCGUUAACCAAGAAGGGAUUUUGGUCGAUCCGGCCAAGAUCGAGGCGGUUAUGCAGUGGGAAGUUCCGAAAUCCCCCUCAGAUAUUAGGAGCUUUUUGGGAUUGGCAGGAUACUACCGGAGAUUCAUAUGGGAUUUAUCUUAGAUUGUAGUACCCCUCACUCGUCUCACGAGGAAAGGGGUGGAUUUUCGGUGGGGUCCUAAACAGCAGGGAGCGUUUGAGACGCUUCGUCAGCGUCUGUGUGAGGCGCCAGUCCUGAAACUCCCGGUGGGAGUUGAGGAUUUUGUAGUGUUCUAUGAUGCCUCCAUCACAGGGUUAGGGGCGAUUCUCAUGCAGAGAUGACGAGUGAUAGCCUACGCAUCUCGGCAGCUGAAACCGCACGAGACUCGAUACCCUACACACGAUUUGGAGCUAGGGGCAGUGGUG
This 7830-nucleotide long non-coding RNA is filed under the name Lactuca sativa (garden lettuce). RNAcentral's name for it is "long non-coding RNA (LSAT_LNC001310)". Lineage: Eukaryota; Viridiplantae; Streptophyta; Magnoliopsida; Asterales; Asteraceae. The record is from RNAcentral.